This 431-nucleotide ribosomal RNA is filed under the name uncultured Pseudomonadota bacterium. RNAcentral describes it as "bacterial SSU rRNA". It matches the Rfam family "Bacterial small subunit ribosomal RNA", at positions 29 to 506 of the family's 1533-position model. Lineage: Bacteria; Pseudomonadati; Pseudomonadota. The record is from RNAcentral.
AUGAACGCUGGCGGCAUGCCUAACACAUGCAAGUCGAACGAGAUCUUCGGAUCUAGUGGCGCACGGGUGAGUAACGCGUGGGAACCUACCUUUUAGUUCGGGACAACGUUUGGAAACGAACGCUAAUACCGUAUACGCCCUCCGGGGGAAAGGUCAGCCGCUGAAAGAGGGGCCCGCGUCUGAUUAGCUUGUUGGUAAGGUAAUGGCUUACCAAGGCAACGAUCAGUAGCUGGUCUGAGAGGAUGAUCAGCCACACUGGGACUGAGACACGGCCCAGACUCCUACGGGAGGCAGCAGUGGGGAAUAUUGGACAAUGGAGGCAACUCUGAUCCAGCAAUGCCGCGUGUGUGAUGAAGGCCCUAGGGUUGUAAAGCACUUUCAACGGUGAAGAUGAUGACGGUAGCCGUAGAAGAAGCCCCGGCUAACUUCGU